Molecule: ribosomal RNA, 468 nt
Filed under: uncultured bacterium
Lineage: Bacteria
Description: partial 16S ribosomal RNA
Rfam family: Bacterial small subunit ribosomal RNA
Source: RNAcentral
GACGAACGCUGGCGGCGUGCUUAACACAUGCAAGUCGAACGGAAAGGCCCUGCUUUUGUGGGGUGCUUGAGUGGCGAACGGGUGAGUAAAACGUGUGUAAACUGCACUUGUCUUUGGGAUAACUUCAGGAAACUGGGGCUAAUACCGGAUAGGAGCUCCUGCUGCAUGGUGGGGGUUGGAAAGUUUCGGCGGUUGGGGAUGGACUGGCGGCUUAUGAGCUUGUUGGUGGGGUAGUGGCUUACCAAGGCUUUGACGGGUAGCCGGCCUGAGAGGGUGGCCGGCCACAUUGGGACUGAGGUACGGCGCAGUCUCCAACGGUAGGCAGCAGUGGGGAAUAUUGCACAGUGGGCGGAAGCGUGAUGCAGCAGCGCCGCGUGCGGAAUGACGGCCUUCGGGUUGUAAACCGCUGUCGCCUUUGACGAAGCGUGAGUGACGGUAAUGAGUAAAGAAGCACCGGCUAACUACGUG